GCCGGGUGCGGUGGCUCACGCCUGUAAUCCCAGCACUUUGGGAGGCUGAGGUGGGUGGAUCACCUGAGGUCAGGAGUUCGAGACCAGCCUGACCAACAUGGAGAAACCCCAUCUCUA
Pongo abelii (Sumatran orangutan) is the source of this 117-nucleotide unclassified non-coding RNA. It matches the Rfam family "Metazoan signal recognition particle RNA". From Rfam's summary of the family: The signal recognition particle (SRP) is a universally conserved ribonucleoprotein. It is involved in the co-translational targeting of proteins to membranes. The eukaryotic SRP consists of a 300-nucleotide 7S RNA and six proteins: SRPs 72, 68, 54, 19, 14, and 9. Lineage: Eukaryota; Metazoa; Chordata; Mammalia; Primates; Hominidae. The record is from Ensembl.